RNAcentral lists this ribosomal RNA (309 nucleotides) under Salmonella enterica subsp. enterica serovar Umbilo. RNAcentral's name for it is "partial 23S ribosomal RNA". It matches the Rfam family "Bacterial large subunit ribosomal RNA", at positions 1243 to 1555 of the family's 2925-position model. Lineage: Bacteria; Pseudomonadati; Pseudomonadota; Gammaproteobacteria; Enterobacterales; Enterobacteriaceae. The record is from RNAcentral.
UAAGCCUGUGAAGGUGGCCUGUGAGGGUUGCUGGAGGUAUCAGAAGUGCGAAUGCUGACAUAAGUAACGAUAAAGCGGGUGAAAAGCCCGCUCGCCGGAAGACCAAGGGUUCCUGUCCAACGUUAAUCGGGGCAGGGUGAGUCGACCCCUAAGGCGAGGCCGAAAGGCGUAGUCGAUGGGAAACGGGUUAAUAUUCCCGUACUUGGUGUUACUGCGAAGGGGGGACGGAGAAGGCUAUGUUGGCCGGGCGACGGUUGUCCCGGUUUAAGCGUGUAGGUGUGUGUUCCAGGUAAAUCCGGUUCACUUUAA